This is a non-coding RNA of Paramormyrops kingsleyae, 558 nucleotides long. The record is from RefSeq and is a predicted model, not a curated record. Lineage: Eukaryota; Metazoa; Chordata; Actinopteri; Osteoglossiformes; Mormyridae.
UCCUGUUACAGCAAGGUCAAAUUGCGGGACCUGCCUUCGGCACGCAGGGAAGAUGCUGUAGUGGCGAGCCGGGGGUAACCGGGCCUGCGGCUUCCCGUCCUUACAUCCCGUGUGUUGACAGCCGAUCGCCGGCUAUGGCACCUUCUUCAGUCUGAAAGUCUGGCUCCUCGAAGACUCAUCAUCUUAACCUUGACUGCAGGCUCCACCCGCAAAGUGACGCUCAGCCAAGAUGUUCAGCACCAAAAGGGUCUCGCUCUGGAGCUUUCCUCAGCAUCGCCCACCUGGCCUCCGAUCUCCGAAGGGAGCCUCUCCACAUAGAUACGCUUCAGCUUUGCACCUCAGUCGACAGGAAGUAUCAAAUAAGGCUGAAGAAGAAAUCUCAGUCAGUGGACAUUACCGCUCAAGGAUAUCCCGCCCCUUUGGUGACGGGAGCAUCGCAGAUAAACAAGGGCGCUCCACCUGUUGCCAAGACAACCGCGUUCGAGUUGCAAGGAAGCAACGUGGCCAAUUCCCAGCGCCACAGCCUCCGGGGCACUGAGCUGAAGCGGUAUCACACCG